GCAACCGGGGCGGGGUGCCUAAUACAUGCAAGUCGAACGAACUCUGGUAUUGAUUGGUGCUUGCAUCAUGAUUUACAUUUGAGUGAGUGGCGAACUGGUGAGUAACACGUGGGAAACCUGCCCAGAAGCGGGGGAUAACACCUGGAAACAGAUGCUAAUACCGCAUAACAACUUGGACCGCAUGGUCCGAGUUUGAAAGAUGGCUUCGGCUAUCACUUUUGGAUGGUCCCGCGGCGUAUUAGCUAGAUGGUGGGGUAACGGCUCACCAUGGCAAUGAUACGUAGCCGACCUGAGAGGGUAAUCGGCCACAUUGGGACUGAGACACGGCCCAAACUCCUACGGGAGGCAGCAGUAGGGAAUCUUCCACAAUGGACGAAAGUCUGAUGGAGCAACGCCGCGUGAGUGAAGAAGGGUUUCGGCUCGUAAAACUCUGUUGUUAAAGAAGAACAUAUCUGAGAGUAACUGUUCAGGUAUUGACGGUAUUUAACCAGAAAGCCACGGCUAACUACGUGCCAGCAGCCGCGGUAAUACGUAGGUGGCAAGCGUUGUCCGGAUUUAUUGGGCGUAAAGCGAGCGCAGGCGGUUUUUUAAGUCUGAUGUGAAAGCCUUCGGCUCAACCGAAGAAGUGCAUCGGAAACUGGGAAACUUGAGUGCAGAAGAGGACAGUGGAACUCCAUGUGUAGCGGUGAAAUGCGUAGAUAUAUGGAAGAACACCAGUGGCGAAGGCGGCUGUCUGGUCUGUAACUGACGCUGAGGCUCGAAAGUAUGGGUAGCAAACAGGAUUAGAUACCCUGGUAGUCCAUACCGUAAACGAUGAAUGCUAAGUGUUGGAGGGUUUCCGCCCUUCAGUGCUGCAGCUAACGCAUUAAGCAUUCCGCCUGGGGAGUACGGCCGCAAGGCUGAAACUCAAAGGAAUUGACGGGGGCCCGCACAAGCGGUGGAGCAUGUGGUUUAAUUCGAAGCUACGCGAAGAACCUUACCAGGUCUUGACAUACUAUGCAAAUCUAAGAGAUUAGACGUUCCCUUCGGGGACAUGGAUACAGGUGGUGCAUGGUUGUCGUCAGCUCGUGUCGUGAGAUGUUGGGUUAAGUCCCGCAACGAGCGCAACCCUUAUUAUCAGUUGCCAGCAUUAAGUUGGGCACUCUGGUGAGACUGCCGGUGACAAACCGGAGGAAGGUGGGGAUGACGUCAAAUCAUCAUGCCCCUUAUGACCUGGGCUACACACGUGCUACAAUGGAUGGUACAACGAGUUGCGAACUCGCGAGAGUAAGCUAAUCUCUUAAAGCCAUUCUCAGUUCGGAUUGUAGGCUGCAACUCGCCUACAUGAAGUCGGAAUCGCUAGUAAUCGCGGAUCAGCAUGCCGCGGUGAAUACGUUCCCGGGCCUUGUACACACCGCCCGUCACACCAUGAGAGUUUGUAACACCCAAAGUCGGUGGGGUAACCUUUUAGGAACCAGCCGCCUAAGGUGGGACAGGGUUUGG
This 1482-nucleotide ribosomal RNA is filed under the name Lactiplantibacillus plantarum. RNAcentral's name for it is "bacterial SSU rRNA". It matches the Rfam family "Bacterial small subunit ribosomal RNA". Lineage: Bacteria; Bacillati; Bacillota; Bacilli; Lactobacillales; Lactobacillaceae. The record is from RNAcentral.